GACGAACGCUGGCGGCGUGCUUAACACAUGCAAGUCGAACGGAAAGGCCCUGCUUUUGUGGGGUGCUCGAGUGGCGAACGGGUGAGUAACACGUGAGUAACCUGCCCUUGACUUUGGGAUAACUUCAGGAAACUGGGGCUAAUACCGGAUAGGAGCUACUGCUGCAUGGUGGGGGUUGGAAAGUUUCGGCGGUUGGGGUUGUACUCGCGGCUUAUCAGCUUGUUGGUGGGGUAGUGGCUGACCAAGGCUUUGACGGGUAGCCGGCCUGGAAGGGUGACCGGCCACAUUGGCACGGAGAUACGGCCCGUACUCAUUCGGGCGCAGCAGUGGAGAAUAUUGCACAGUGGGCGGAAGCCUGAUGCAGCAACGCCGCGUGCGGGAUGACGGCCUUCGGGUUGUAAACCGCUUUCGCCUGUGACGAAGCGUGAGUGACGGUAAUGGGUAAAGAAGCACCGGCUAACUACGUG
This 467-nucleotide ribosomal RNA is filed under the name uncultured bacterium. RNAcentral describes it as "partial 16S ribosomal RNA". It matches the Rfam family "Bacterial small subunit ribosomal RNA", at positions 28 to 507 of the family's 1533-position model. The record is from RNAcentral.